This 254-nucleotide ribosomal RNA is filed under the name uncultured bacterium. RNAcentral describes it as "partial 16S ribosomal RNA". It matches the Rfam family "Bacterial small subunit ribosomal RNA", at positions 524 to 776 of the family's 1533-position model. The record is from RNAcentral.
UACGUAGGGUGCAAGCGUUUGUCCGGAAUUAUUGGGCGUAAAGAGCUCGUAGGCGGUUUGUCGCGUCUGCUGUGAAAACUCGAGGCUCAACCUCGAGACGUCGAUGGAAACCCUCUGGCUAGAGUCCGGAAGAGGAGAGUGGAAUUCCUGGUGUAGCGAUGAAAUGCGCAGAUAUCAGGAAGAACACCCGUGGCGAAGGCGGCUCUCUGGGACGGUACUGACGCUGAGACGCGAAAGCGUGGGGAGCAAACAGG